Molecule: ribosomal RNA, 292 nt
Filed under: uncultured bacterium
Lineage: Bacteria
Description: partial 16S ribosomal RNA
Rfam family: Bacterial small subunit ribosomal RNA
Source: RNAcentral
GUGCCAGCAGCCGCGGUAAUACGUAGGGUGCAAGCGUUAAUCGGAAUUACUGGGCGUAAAGCGUGCGCAGGCGGCUAUGCAAGACAGAUGUGAAAUCCCCGGGCUCAACCUGGGAACUGCAUUUGUGACUGCAUGGCUAGAGUACGGUAGAGGGGGAUGGAAUUCCGCGUGUAGCAGUGAAAUGCGUAGAUAUGCGGAGGAACACCGAUGGCGAAGGCAAUCCCCUGGACCUGUACUGACGCUCAUGCACGAAAGCGUGGGGAGCAAACAGGAUUAGAAACCCGUGUAGUCC